GACGAACGCUGGCGGUGUGCUUCACACAUGCAAGUCGAACGGGGUAGCAAUACCCAGUGGCGGACGGGUGAGUAACGCGUAGAAAUCUGCCUUGAGAUGGGGGAUAACAGUCCGAAAGGAUUGCUAAUACCGCAUAUGUGUGCGCUCGGACACGAGUGUACAUGAAAGGAGUAAUCCGUCUCAAGAUGAGUCUGCGUCCGAUUAGCUAGUUGGUAGGGUAAAGGCCUACCAAGGCGACGAUCGGUAGCUGGUCUGAGAGGAUGAUCAGCCACAAUGGGACUGAGACACGGCCCAUACUCCUACGGGAGGCAGCAGUGGGGAAUUUUGUGCAAUGGGGGAAACCCUGACACAGCGACACCGCGUGAACGAAGAAGCCCUUUGGGGUGUAAAGUUCUGUCGGCUGGAACGAAAAAUGACGGUACCAGCAAAGGAAGCAAUCGGCUAACUACGUG
RNAcentral lists this ribosomal RNA (452 nucleotides) under uncultured bacterium. RNAcentral's name for it is "bacterial SSU rRNA". It matches the Rfam family "Bacterial small subunit ribosomal RNA", at positions 28 to 507 of the family's 1533-position model. The record is from RNAcentral.